GGUUUUCAAGCCCAAAAGGAUAUUGGAGAAAUACCUCAAUGAGAGAGAUGGGCACUGCUAGGGAUUGAGAUGUGGACAUAUAGAGUCUAAAUACUUUCUGAUAUCUGCUUGAAUGCCAGAUGGCAACUGCAUUCCUGACCUCUGGGGAAUGCAAAGUCUGUCUGAAGCCCAAGGAGAGCUCAGAGCAUCAAAGAUCCUGAGGCAGGUACUAAGGAGGUGCCUCCAAGGAGGU
Molecule: long non-coding RNA, 232 nt
Filed under: Homo sapiens (human)
Lineage: Eukaryota; Metazoa; Chordata; Mammalia; Primates; Hominidae
Description: HSALNT0237552
Source: RNAcentral